CAGUAGCCGCGGGAAUACAGAGGGUGCGAGCGUUAAUCGGAUUUACUGGGCGUAAAGCGUGCGUAGGCGGCUUUUUAAGUCGGAUGUGAAAUCCCUGAGCUUAACUUAGGAAUUGCAUUCGAUACUGGGAAGCUAGAGUAUGGGAGAGGAUGGUAGAAUUCCAGGUGUAGCGGUGAAAUGCGUAGAGAUUUGGAGGAAUACCGAUGGCGAAGGCAGCCAUCUGGCCUAAUACUGACGCUGAGGUACGAAAGCAUGGGGAGCAAACAGGAUUAGAUACCCCUGUAGUCCCUGUCUCUUAUAC
This 301-nucleotide ribosomal RNA is filed under the name uncultured bacterium. RNAcentral's name for it is "partial 16S ribosomal RNA". It matches the Rfam family "Bacterial small subunit ribosomal RNA", at positions 509 to 807 of the family's 1533-position model. The record is from RNAcentral.